Long non-coding RNA from Chinchilla lanigera (long-tailed chinchilla), 1604 nucleotides. The record is from Ensembl. Lineage: Eukaryota; Metazoa; Chordata; Mammalia; Rodentia; Chinchillidae.
GCUGCUCCAGAAAAGCGCUAUAUUCUCAUGUGACUUGUUGCACGGUACCAAGGACUUUGAUCACAGAAAUCAAGUGUCCAUUACUUUCUUGACCAUGCUCUGCUGGCAAGUUCCAGGGAGGACCAGCUCCCUGCCUGCAAGUUCCAGGGCUUAGUUCGCCGGUGCCACCACCCUGAUUGCUCCUGGAGGGAUGUCUUUCUGUGUCCCCACAGCUGCUACUACAUUCCCAUUUUAGCAGAGUGGACCAGAUGGCUCCCAUAGAUCAAGUACCACUGCGAGCUUUGCUGGUGGAGAAAGGACAUCACAACCCUAGGCAUGUAGGUGGCCGGUGGAUGCUGGGAAAGACCCUCAGUUGACAGUCAGCAAGGAGAUGAGACCCUCAGUCUUGCAAUGAAAGGAACUAAUUUCUGAAUGUGAGAGAAAACUUUCUCCUUGAAGUCUCCAGGAUGAAAAGAAGUUCUUGGGGCACCUUGGGUUUAUCCUUACCAACUUAAAACCUACAGAACUGUAAGAUCAUAAAUGUGCAUUGUUCUAGGCCACUAAGUUUGUAGUGAUUUUUUACAGCAGCAAUGGAAAAAUAAUAAUACUUUCUUAAUGAUUAAUAAAGAAAAUAAUAGCAAUGUGUGUUGAGACAUCUUGGCUUAUGGUUUUUUGUUGUUGUUGUUCUUUUGAUCAGGGUAAUGGGGAAUCACAGGGAAGACAGAUUGGGAGAUUGAUGCCUGGAAUUCUCCGCUCUCGGUCCUACUUCGGCUGUGAGUCCACAGACAAGGCUGUGUGAGAGGAGCACAGGGACUUCAACUGAAUAUACUCCAGAUAAGAAAAUAAAACUACUGCGAGACACGCUUUUUGGAACAUCUGAGUGAUGACUGGCCGUUCUUUCUCCAUCACAUGUAUUCUCUCCAUCAAGAAGACAUUCUACAGAAGAGGGUGGAACUUGAUCCCUGCAAAGAAAAUUGAUGAUGCUUUGGCAAUGGAAGGAAAAGAAGCAGAUGGUUGGAAUCAUCAGUACCACCCAGUGUGUCAGCUGAAUGAUCUAUCAGAUGUUCUUCCUCCUAGUGGGCGAUGGCUUCCUCCCAGCUACUGCAUCUUGUGUUUGGGGACCAAUGAGCCUUGUACUGUCAUACACUGUUUUUUACAAUGCUUUGAAGAACUUAUCAAUACUAUGAAUAUGAAUUAAAUGCUUUACAAAUUUUAUCUGUGUUCUAACUGAUAAGCCCAAAGCUACAAACUCAAAUAUAAUUUUUAAAAAUAUAUGUAGGUAAAUGUGUGUGUAUGUGUGUGUGUGUGUGUGUGUGUGUUUACAGAUAGAAUAUAGAAUAUUUCUAGAAGGGAACUCAUGAAUUAGGUACUGGUAGUUGUUCUAGGGAGAAGCACUGCAUGGUUGUGACAGGGAGGAGAGAGUUGUCUUAUUGGACAUUCUUUUGUACAUCAUGAACAUGUAAUACCUAUUAAAAUAUUUUGACAAAAUGAAGGGAACUAAUAUCAACAUUUUAUAAUUUAAAAAGCUGAGUAAGAUGCUCUCAGUCUCAAAACUCUAUUCCUACAAAAAUGUCAGAGCUGGGGUUUUAAUGCAGGUCACUUUUACUAUAGAACUUAAAUAAAAC